Molecule: ribosomal RNA, 236 nt
Filed under: uncultured Staphylococcus sp.
Lineage: Bacteria; Bacillati; Bacillota; Bacilli; Caryophanales; Staphylococcaceae
Description: partial 16S ribosomal RNA
Rfam family: Bacterial small subunit ribosomal RNA
Source: RNAcentral
CGGGUGAGUAACACGUGGAUAACCUACCUAUAAGACUGGGAUAACUUCGGGAAACCGGAGCUAAUACCGGAUAAUAUAUUGAACCGCAUGGUUCAAUAGUGAAAGACGGUUUGCUGUCACUUAUAGAUGGAUCCGCGCCGCAUUAGCUAGUUGGUAAGGUAACGGCUUACCAAGGCAACGAUGCGUAGCCGACCUGAGAGGGUGAUCGGCCACACUGGAGCUGAGACACGGUCCAG